CUUCUCCUAUUUUUCUUUUUGUCACGUGAAUUCAAAUUUUAUAUCAACUUUAUAUAAAAUAUAAAAGAUAAAAAAUUCCUUUAAAUAUAUAGAUUUAGAUUUGUUACUUUAUGAGAGGUGGUGCUUUUUAGUUAGUUUCCAAUUAAAUUAACGUUAUAUUAACUCAUGACACUAUAUCUAAAAUUAUAUAUAUAGCUCCCAAUUGAUUAACUACCACAUGGGUUAUUCAUAUUUUAAGUUAAUUAAUAAUAUUUAAAAUUUUUUAUUAGUUAAAAAAAAAGGAUUUCAUAUAAGUGAUAAGGUCAAAACAAAGAUUAACCAUUAAAAAAAUCCUAUUUUCCUUAAAAUAUUUGUAAAAUAAAUAUUUUUUACUAUAUUUGAUGAGUUCUGUUAUAAGCUCAAUUUGCCCGGCCCGUUUAUAAUCCUUAAACCCAACACCCAAAACCAAACUAAAUUAAAAUAAGCCCACUACCCGGUUACAAGCCCAAAAAAAUAAACCUAGCCCAUUCCUAAUAUUUUCAGAAAAUAAGAAAAAAACCUAGCCCCUAUUGCCUAUUCGGCGCCGAACCUAGCCCCGAGACUCUGUCACCGCCACUGGUGGCCACUUGCUCCACCACCAACUACUCCUGCAAAGAAAAGACAAGGAUUAAAUGCGAAAACAGUGAAGAAAACAGAGAAUGUUGUAAAAAUUGGCUAUAUAAAAGCCUAAGAGAUCGAAAGCAAGGGUUUUUUUUUUCUCUUGGAACACAAAAAAGGGUUGUAUUACACGGACAUUGAAAUACAAAACAGUGAUAAAAAAAAAUCAGAUUGAAAGAAAUAGGUGAUUUUCCUUCACUUUUAUUCUAUUUUCUUCCAAACUUGAAAGCAAAAAAAAAAAGAUCUGAAUAUAUUGAUAAAGAAUAAUAGAAAAGGAAGGGGAAGAUACACACUUACCGGAGGCGUUUUGUCUUCCUCCGUUGGCCUUACUCUCCGGCGCCAAGGCCCAAGACCCCUUGGGGUCCGAUUCGGGGUUCGACGGCACGCCGAUUUUCAGAGAAACCGCCCCUUUUUCUCUCUUUCCUCACUCUCCUCGCGAAGGUCGGAGACUUCAUCUCCAAGAGGGCUCGAGAACGGGCUUUAAGGUCACCACAGACGGUUGGGCCGUCGUUGGUGUUCAAUGACAUGAGCUCGGCAGUCCCCAAGGUCGGAGUCUGAGGGCUAGAGAGAAUAAUGGGAAGGUUGAGAGGGCAUUUGGUUUUUUCUUUUUCUUUUUUUCUUUCGGAAGAAUGAUUAAGUGUUUAGGUUUUAGGGUUUUUUUCCUUUAUACGUCAUAAAACGACGUCGUUUAGAGCCCUUUGCAAUGGCUUCAAAAUGGCGUCGUAUAGG
RNAcentral lists this long non-coding RNA (1365 nucleotides) under Gossypium barbadense (sea-island cotton). RNAcentral's name for it is "long non-coding RNA (GBAR_LNC004789)". The record is from RNAcentral. Lineage: Eukaryota; Viridiplantae; Streptophyta; Magnoliopsida; Malvales; Malvaceae.